CUGGCUGGCUAACACAGUACAGGGGCCUGCAGGGGCAGCUGUGCACUUAGGAGAUCAGAUCUGCCUCUUAAAUGUAAGACUUUUUGCUGAUCCCAUGCAGAAGGACAAAGGAAAGGGAUUCAAAUGACAUCUUGCUCGGCACGGAAGAGUGGUUACUCAGUGGUCAUUUUCAUCUGGGCACAUCUCAGGGUGGCCAGUUCUUCGACAGCUCAGGCCAGCAGAGGUACCCGCCCCCUUCAAUACUGCUGCAUCCUCUGAGCAUCUCUCUGUUGUCUCCUGGCACAAGCCAUGUGCUCAUCAGACCUGCGCACACUAUUUGGGAGUGAACAGCACAACCUGCCCUACCUUAUUCAAAGUAUUGGUAUCGUCUCUCAAAGCUGUGAGUGUUUCAACAGCAGGCAGCUACCUUAUAGUUCUGGGAACUCCAGUGCUUGGCACUACAACUUCAAUUAGGGAGCAACACUUUCAAGCAACAAGAAGCCUGCUGAGCCACAGAACACUGUGGGUCUUUCCUGAGCCAAGAGCUCACCUCAGAUGUGCAGAUGAGUCCCUUCAAGGAGCCAUCUGGCUUCCUGACCGGCCACUGAUAAGAGGACUUCACAGGUGACAGGGAGGGAAAUAGGCAGUGAUGAGUGUUUGCAAGGGUGGGGGGACGUGGACCCCUCCUCUCCGUGCUUCCAGCGUCGGCCUCUAUGUACACUUUCUUCAAGAGCUCAUGGGGUAACUGAGCCCUGGCUUCGUGAAGAGAGCCCUCGUGGAACAAUAAACAUAGAAAGCCAAUUCACUAGGAAAGUAUUAUUCUUAGUAACACUUUUCUGCUGAAAGAGAUUUCAGGAAGCACUGAGUGUCCCACAUGAAGCAACAGAUGCAGGUACUGAUCACCUAGCUGCCCAUAUCAGCAAAUAAGAGACAAUAAGGCACAAUUUGUUUCAUAGAAAUACACGCCUCUGGUGUAAAGAAACGCCUACCAGCUUAGCUGGUUCUAGAGAACAGAGAAGUGGGCUGGGUAAGGCCUUUGGCAAAUUACAAAUCCACAGAAAGAAUCCCCGCUUGGCCCACAGCUGGAUGCAGGGGCCCUGGUGUGGCCAGAUCAAGGGAAAUCAGAAAUCUGGAGAUCUAAUGGGAAAUCAUUAAUUAAAAAUGAUGUCAACUAUUUUUUUUAGUAUUUUGAACUAUUCUUAUAAAUAAAAAAUAUGGAAAGCAAAG
RNAcentral lists this long non-coding RNA (1206 nucleotides) under Cavia porcellus (domestic guinea pig). Its description in RNAcentral is "lncRNA (ENSCPOG00000032696.1)". Lineage: Eukaryota; Metazoa; Chordata; Mammalia; Rodentia; Caviidae. The record is from RNAcentral.